This 292-nucleotide long non-coding RNA is filed under the name Salvia miltiorrhiza (redroot sage). RNAcentral describes it as "long non-coding RNA (SMIL_LNC002102)". The record is from RNAcentral. Lineage: Eukaryota; Viridiplantae; Streptophyta; Magnoliopsida; Lamiales; Lamiaceae.
AAAAAUAUCAUACUUUAAUGGUGUUCACUUUUUUUUCUUAUGUCGUAUUUCAGUAUGGAGAAACAUGACAAAAAAUGUUAUCACAUAAACCUCAUUAUAACAUUAUCUUGAGUAUGUAAAAGUGACAAGAAAUAAAAGGGAUUGUCCGAAGAAAAAAAAUCAUAUUGUUUGAAAAAAAAUUAUCAACCCUACAAAAUAUGAAAAUAAUGAAAAAUUCAAAAAGAAAAAAGAAAAUAAGAUAUGACAAAUUCAAGACUUAUAAAUGUUUGUGAAUUUUGAAGCUGAAGCUUUU